Molecule: ribosomal RNA, 530 nt
Filed under: Myotis daubentonii (Daubenton's bat)
Lineage: Eukaryota; Metazoa; Chordata; Mammalia; Chiroptera; Vespertilionidae
Description: partial 16S ribosomal RNA
Rfam family: Bacterial large subunit ribosomal RNA
Source: RNAcentral
UUUACCAAAAACAUCACCUCUAGCAUAAAAAGUAUUAGAGGCACUGCCUGCCCAGUGACUUUAGUUCAACGGCCGCGGUAUCCUGACCGUGCAAAGGUAGCAUAAUCACUUGUUCUCUAAAUAAGGACUUGUAUGAAUGGCUCCACGAGGGUUUAACUGUCUCUUACUUUCGAUCAGUGAAAUUGACCUUCCCGUGAAGAGGCGUGAAUAAAAAAAUAAGACGAGAAGACCCUAUGGAGCUUUAAUUAAUCAACUCACAAAUUAAAAUAACACUCUAUCAGAAACAAACUUAUUAUACUGAGUUGACAAUUUAGGUUGGGGUGACCUCGGAAUAAAAACUAACUCCCGAGAAAAUUCAAAUUAAGACAGACAAGUCAAAAUUAUUCCACUAUAUACUGAUCCGUCAUAAACGAUCAACGAAACAAGUUACCCUAGGGAUAACAGCGCAAUCCUAUUUAAGAGUCCAUAUCGACAAUUAGGGUUUACGACCUCGAUGUUGGAUCAGGACAUCCCAAUGGUGCAGCCGCUAU